GUUCACCCCAACAGCCCCAGCCGAGAACAGAGCAGCAGAGCCCACAACUCACCUGGGGGCUGGGGCUGGGGCUGGGGCUGCUCCUACCCCUCUCCAGGCUUCUGGUGCACCGGGACACAGCCGGAGGAACAGGAAGUCGGGGCGGCGGCAGAAACGGCUCUGCGCGGGCUGAACUUGAACUUCAGCCAUACACUGGAAUCACCUGACGAUCUUUGAGAACUAUUAUUCCAUCUGAAGAGGAACUAGCAAUCUAAUCAGCCUAAACUAUGGGUUUAAAAGUCCCCAGAUGCUUCUGAUGCACAGAAUUACAUAUUCUUAAAAAUACCAACACCUACACCCCAGGUGAGACUAACCCUGGCCUGGGGCUGGGACCGUCGUAUUUUCUACACCCUCCCCUAGAAGAUCCUAAUGUGAAGGUAGGCUAAGAAUCAAAGCACCAAAGAUUCAAUUGCAAGAAUCAUAAGCAUUUGUUGUCUCUGAUGUGUGCUCGUUCUCCCGGGAGAGGGGUCAUCCCUUUCUUGAGAACGAUAAUACCACCUGGGUCUCUGCACCAAGGAGAAGAGCCACGGCUCGCUGGCCCUGGGUCAGAGCAAUUGCAGUCUCCAGCUGGCUGGUGGGAAACGGAUUCUGCUCUUCAAGGACCAGCCAAAGUUGCACGUUGGUCCCUUGCUAAACAGUGGGUUUAGUUAGGAGACCUUGCUCUCAGGAGCACAGCAGGGAGGCAAGCCUGUGGACAGGCCACUCUGGGCCCUCCCGAGUUCACCAGAUGUCCGGGCACCACACGCCUCUGGAUUGCAAUUGAGUUGUCACCGCACUUGGCCUCACCCGACAAGGGGCUCCGUCACAGCCCAGCUCUCCAUCAUGAGAGCUCGGGUGGGUGCACACCACACAGUGCUGUGCACUGGGCUCUGCAUUUGCUCUAUGGAUUCUGCUGCUUGGAACAAAUAGGAGUUGCCUCGCAACUCUUGGACGCAAAUCCUGAGAAAUUCCAACCUCCACAAAGAAAAUUAAAACUGGCUACCGGCCCCAGAUAUUGGAACAGGUGAGAACUCACCAGUUGACUUGGGGAGCCCUUCCCACCCUUUACAUAGAACAAGGCACCAGCUCUUUGAUGGACCCAGAAAAAGAGGAUUAAGCUCCAGUCUUCAAUGCUGCUUGGCCAACCAGAGAUGGCGCCUCCACACCUGACAGUAACGCCAAAUUUGCUGAGUCCUGGGUGAUCUUCCCACUGGCUCCUAGGGACAAAGAGCUCUGUCCUCCCUGCACCCCCCCCCCCCAGUCAUCUGUACCGUGGUCUUUCUACUGCAUGGACAGUGCCAAGGCCCCUGGCUGUCCAGGCACAGAACCCGCGGUCCAGGAACUCCUCCUCAGGCCUCUUCUCAGCUCACACGGAGUUUAUGGCCGAGAACAUGGGAUGCAGGGAUUCUGCAGGAGCUCAGUCCAUCACAUUUCAUUCUCAACGCCUUCUUUCCACAAGCCAAGUUUGUCACUGCCACACAGGCAAAAGGAUUUCACACUUCAAGACUUCGUUUUACCUGUAAGAUCAUACAAUUCUUAAGAGAACAGAGAUGACUUUUCACCCACUGAAGUAACCGGCCAAGUCCAUGAAAUGGAUUUGACCAAACAGGACUUCGACUGAAGGCUGAAACUGAGAAGGAUUUCAAGGGAGUGUUUGUUAUCCAGAAAACAGAUGAGAACAGCCAGCCGGUAAGGUGGGCGCUGUGGAUACUCCAGCACAACCUCAUUUUCUGGCCAGGCUUUCUCAUCCCCAGCUGCAGUGAAUGUUGGCUGCUAGAGACUGAAGGGCCCCAGGGAUGGCUGCCUGCUCCAACGGCUCUGCUCUAGGGCUGGGAAAUCCGUCCAUCAGGGAACUGUGUUCCUGGGGGCUCUCAGAGAUGUGAACCUAACAAGGUGAUAAGGGACACAAUGCUGGGAGCACCAAUAUCCUUGAGAAGCUCAUGGUGGCUGUCGUCUGUAGGCUGGAAUAAUGGGAGAAUAGAUGUCUUACAGGACUGGGUUCCUUAGUAGAGAUGAAAAUAACAGGAUCUUAGAGUAACAGAGGCCAGGGGCAGCAUUUAGCUGUCAGAGCUAGGUAAAGUAAUUUCUGUAAUGGGCAGCAAAGUUAGAAAUACAGCCAGGAGGACCUGACCCAUCGGUGUAUAUGGAGAUAACAGGACAUGGUGUUCCUGCAGGCACAACAGAUGGGCAGCCAGAAAGGCUACUGCUUCAUAUAGAUCAUCAAAAAGAAAUCAAAAAUAGAUGGGCAGAAGGCUGAGGUCAGUCCCCUUGGUUUCCUAGCCUGAGCCAGUUCCCAGCAGGGCCCAGAGUCCAUGUAAGGAAAGCAGGGCAGGUUCUCACAAGGGAGGAUCCCACACGAUUCCCUCGGUUCCUCACCCAAGGCACUCGUGGUCGUUUGUGCAAAUAUCGCAUGCUGGGGAGAGGGGACUCACAGCUCUUUCAAGGGUGUUAAACACCACAUCGGACCUUCCACUAACACCUGGGGACCCCAGGUACCAUCGUGGCCCCUGCUGGCCUGCAGUGUAAGGAGGCUAGGGAGCACAUCUCACAGAGGGCCCAUGGAUCCGCAGAGCCAGCCGGCAACUGCUUCCUCUGUUCCUGAGUACGGAGCAGGUCACGCCUCGCUCUGAUUUGAACUGGUUCCUUAACCUGUGAAGUAGCCACAGCUGUCUCGGGAAAAGCCAGGGAAAAGGCUCUGACAUGAAGUUUCUCCUGGUGAAAGUCAGCCGAAGCCAUGUCCUAGCCCUGGGGAAUGACUGAGAUUAGUGCCAGCUGCAAAGACUUGGAAGAGGCCAUGGAAUCCAGGAAACCCAGCUGUCUGGCCCCUGCCAAAGCUGGGUGGGUCGUGGCCACCACAUGAGUGCUAGAAACUUAACCAGGGAGUAGAACUUAUUACAGUUAUUGCGCCAGAUGUGUACCUUUGUUAGAGCAGUCAGAAUAGCCUCUGGUAGGUGGUAUGCACCUGUUACUAUGGGAAAUGUGCUUUUAGAAUGCCCAGCAGUAGGAGGAGAGGCAGCUCACAGUCAUAAGGACUGGACAAGAGUACAUGUUUAUGGCUUGGCUCCAGGGCAAGGUGAAUUCUCCCGCUCCGUCACCCUAUGGCCUGGCUGCACACUCCGUAGUACAUGGGUCCAAGUUACAGAUGACAAUGUGUCAUUGGCCCUCGUGAGCAAGGAGUGUUGAGAAUUCUGAAUGCCUCCUCAGUCACAGGCACUCCAGAUGGUGGGGACAAGCCUACCAAGAUUCACAGCUGUGCCAUGAUCAGGGGUCAGUGAGUCGGAGCGGGUCAGGACGUCCCCUCCAAAGCCCCAAGCCAUUGCCCCUCGCACUGCCUGCCACUAAGAAGCCCAAGGCUUGGCAGGCCUCUCCUGGCGAGGAGAAUAAUCGUGGUCGACAAUGUGAUACAAAUGAUUCUUGAAACGUGUGUGUUUGAGGGGAGGCAGGGGCGUGUGCCUUCUCAGAUAAAAUGUGCUAAUCUAUGUUUUUCUUGUAAUAAAAUACAGUGGAUGCUGU
Lepus europaeus (European hare) is the source of this 3531-nucleotide long non-coding RNA. RefSeq lists it as uncharacterized. Lineage: Eukaryota; Metazoa; Chordata; Mammalia; Lagomorpha; Leporidae. The record is from RefSeq and is a predicted model, not a curated record. The transcript is spliced from 4 exons.